GCGAGAGUGGCGGAAUUGGUAGACGCACCAGAUUUAGGAUCUGGCGGGCAACCGUGGGGGUUCGAGUCCCCCCUCUCGCACCA
Molecule: transfer RNA, 83 nt
Filed under: Thermodesulfobacteriota bacterium
Lineage: Bacteria; Pseudomonadati; Thermodesulfobacteriota
Also listed under: 1 other name
Description: tRNA-Leu
Rfam family: tRNA
About the family: Transfer RNA (tRNA) molecules are approximately 80 nucleotides in length. Their secondary structure includes four short double-helical elements and three loops (D, anti-codon, and T loops).
Source: RNAcentral